UUCACAUCUCUGAUGUUAAGAUGGCGGCGCCCUGUAUGGCUGCGGCUGCAUGGGCUCUCGACAACUUGCGAGUAUUUGAGCAAAAUA
Long non-coding RNA from Xiphophorus hellerii (green swordtail), 87 nucleotides. RefSeq lists it as uncharacterized. NCBI's taxonomy places the organism in Eukaryota, Metazoa, Chordata, Actinopteri, Cyprinodontiformes, Poeciliidae. The record is from RefSeq and is a predicted model, not a curated record. The transcript has 3 exons.